This 305-nucleotide ribosomal RNA is filed under the name uncultured bacterium. Its description in RNAcentral is "bacterial SSU rRNA". It matches the Rfam family "Bacterial small subunit ribosomal RNA", at positions 333 to 635 of the family's 1533-position model. The record is from RNAcentral.
UGGUCCCUACGGGGGGCAGCAGUGAGGAAUAUUGGUCAAUGGGCGGUAGCCUGAACCAGCCAAGUAGCGUGAAGGAUGAAGGUUCUAUGGGUUGUAAACUUCUUUUAUAAAGGAAUAAAGUGAGGCACGUGUGCCUUUUUGUAUGUACUUUAUGAAUAAGGAUCGGCUAACUCCGUGCCAGCAGCCGCGGUAAUACGGAGGAUCCGAGCGUUAUCCGGAUUUAUUGGGUUUAAAGGGAGCGUAGAUGGGUUGUUAAGUCAGUUGUGAAAGUUUGCGGCUCAACCGUAAAAUUGCAAUUGAUCCUG